RNAcentral lists this ribosomal RNA (468 nucleotides) under uncultured bacterium. Its description in RNAcentral is "partial 16S ribosomal RNA". It matches the Rfam family "Bacterial small subunit ribosomal RNA", at positions 28 to 507 of the family's 1533-position model. The record is from RNAcentral.
GACGAACGCUGGCGGCGUGCUUAACACAUGCAAGUCGAACGGAAAGGCCCUGCUUUUGUGGGGUGCUCGAGUGGCGAACGGGUGAGUAACACGUGAGUAACCUGCCCUUGACUUUGGGAUAACUUCAGGAAACUGGGGCUAAUACCGGAUAGGAGCUCCUACUGCAUGGUGGGGGUUGGAAAGUUUCGGCGGUUGGGGAUGGACUCGCGGCUUAUCAGCUUGUUGGUGGGGUAGUGGCUUACCAAGGCUUUGACGGGUAGCCGGCCUGAGAGGGUGACCGGCCCCCUUGGGACUGAGAUACGGCCCAGACUCCUACGGGAGGCAGCAGUGGGGAAUAUUGCACAAUGGGCGGAAGCCUGAUGCAGCAACGCCGCGUGCGGGAUGACGGCCUUCGGGUUGUAAACCGCUUUCGCCUGUGACGAAGCGUGAGUGACGGUAAUGGGUAAAGAAGCACCGGCUAACUACGUG